GCAAUCACCAACAUUUUUUUGAUAACCAUGGUGUACGGGUUAGCUCGCACGCACCUCGACUACUCUAUGGGAUACUUGCUACCUUCCACCAGCAUAGGUACCGGAUAACUUUGUUCACCAAAGCUUGAGUUGCAAAUGCCAAAGUUCUACCAUCAAAUUAUUCACUUUUUGGAAAGCAUUUGAUCAAUUUCUCCACUCUCGUUGUACAUGCUAACAAUUUUCUUUGCAUAUUCAGGCAUAUGUCUGUCCGCUCUUUCUUUUCCCCAUUUGCGGACUACGUUUAAGUAAUUUCUGAUUGUGUGAUAAUCUAGCGAGUAACGUGCAAAUUCUAGACCCUUCGGUCCGACUAUGUUGAGAAGAAAUGCUAUUAAAUUUCCAACAAACUUUGGAGCAGGUUGAGAAGGACCUCUUCCAAAUUUUGCUUCAUCAUCUGCCUUCACGGUUUCCACGACAAAUGGACGCCGCUUACCACUACUUAUCGUCGGAGUAAUUUCCAAGAGGUUCUCGAUAAGGUUUAGCAUUUCUCUACCACGUUCAUUUCUGACAGUAACAUACUGGGGAUGCUGCAUCAUGCUGAUUCCACUGUAUUUCGGCACACCCAUGUAUCCCACCACCAAAUCCGCCAAGCCAUUUGUGUAGUCAAAACAGCUGUAACAAGAUGGUGCAAUAACAUCAACCAAGUCAUUUGCUGGUAAACAGAAAUAGGGAACCUCUUCAAUAUGGCCAUCCAAAUGCUUCAGAUGGACCUUGUAGUCUUGCAUAAACUCAUAGUGGAGAACUGUUUCAGGUUCACUGCUAGCAGCCUUCAGAAAUUUAUCUAAACCUUCUCGUGGUCCAUUAUCCACACAGUUAGUGCCUAGAACAUAAAGUUUUUCCAGAUUCAAAUAUUGCUCCACUGAUCUUAAAGCUUGAACUUGGCAGCCAACCCCGCAGAAGAGAAGGCGCUUUACACCAGCUGCCUCAACUAAGGCAAGAGUAUUUAGAUUAGGAGACAGUGUCGGCUUAACACCUUUAGCUGCUAUAACUUCCUCUGGAGUCCUUGCCAGGACAGGUCGAGGAGCAAAUCGAUCUUCUGGAUCACUCUGAACACAAAUAACAGCUUCCACCAUCCCAGCUUUUAGCAUCUCCACGGCAAUAGUUGUCACUAUCCCCGUCCAUUGAGCUCCUUCCACAGGCUUAGUUUUACGAGCAUACAAUAGAUUCUCAUACACCCCCAUAUAAAUCUCAUCCAAGGAAUCUUCUUUCCGUCCUCGUCCAUGGACAAUAGGUUCCAAAGCUUCAACUCUAGACAUGCCAUCCCCCAAGAAAGCACAUGCAUUAUUCACAUGAGCAAUGUAGUAAGUGUCACACAAACCACAGUGGCUGCAGUGGUCUUUA
Molecule: unclassified non-coding RNA, 1377 nt
Filed under: Hevea brasiliensis (rubber tree)
Lineage: Eukaryota; Viridiplantae; Streptophyta; Magnoliopsida; Malpighiales; Euphorbiaceae
Source: RNAcentral